Molecule: ribosomal RNA, 446 nt
Filed under: uncultured bacterium
Lineage: Bacteria
Description: partial 16S ribosomal RNA
Rfam family: Bacterial small subunit ribosomal RNA
Source: RNAcentral
AGCGAACGCUGGCGGCAGGCUUAACACAUGCAAGUCGAGCGCCCCGCAAGGGGAGCGGCAGACGGGUGAGUAACACGUGGGAACAUGCCUUUGGUUCGGAACAACCCAGGGAAACUUGGGCUAAUACCGGAUAAGCCCUUACGGGGAAAGAUUUAUCGCCAAAAGAUCGGCCCGCGUCUGAUUAGCUAGUUGGUGGGGUAAUGGCCCACCAAGGCUACGAUCAGUAGCUGGUCUGAGAGGAUGAUCAGCCACAUUGGGACUGAGACACGGCCCAAACUCCUACGGGAGGCAGCAGUGGGGAAUAUUGGACAAUGGGGGCAACCCUGAUCCAGCCAUGCCGCGUGAGUGAUGAAGGCCUUAGGGUUGUAAAGCUCUUUUAGCAGGGAAGAUAAUGACGGUACCUGCAGAGAAAGCCCCGGCUAACUUCGUGCCAGCCGCCGCCGUAA